Molecule: ribosomal RNA, 229 nt
Filed under: uncultured bacterium
Lineage: Bacteria
Description: partial 16S ribosomal RNA
Rfam family: Bacterial small subunit ribosomal RNA
Source: RNAcentral
CGUGUAGGCGGUCUGUUAAGUCUGGUGUGAAAGCCCUGGGCUCAACCCAGGAAGUGCAUUGGAUACUGGCAGACUUGAGUAUGGGAGAGGAAAGCGGAAUUCCGAGUGUAGGAGUGAAAUCCGUAGAUAUUCGGAGGAACACCAGUGGCGAAGGCGGCUUUCUGGACCAAUACUGACGCUGAGACGCGAAAGUGUGGGGAGCAAACAGGAUUAGAUACCCUGGUAGUCC